RNAcentral lists this unclassified non-coding RNA (374 nucleotides) under soil metagenome. Its description in RNAcentral is "partial contains internal transcribed spacer 2 and large subunit ribosomal RNA". The stretch from base 1 to 120 matches the Rfam family "5.8S ribosomal RNA", at positions 35 to 154 of the family's 154-position model. The record is from RNAcentral.
GAUGAAGAACGCAGCGAAAUGCGAUAAUUAAUGUGAAUUGCAGAAUUCCGUGAAUCAUCGAGUCUUUGAACGCACAUUGCGCCUCAUGGCAUUCCGUGAGUCAUGCCCAUCUCAGCGUUAGAAAAUAUUCUCAAAUUUUAGUUUUGUGCUAAAAUUUGGAUCAUGUCAAGGAAGCUAUUACUAUUAUUGUGAUCGCUCUUUGGAAAUUGAUAGGUCUUUGAGUUGCUACUCAUAGAACGUGAUGAAUCUUUCUUCGUUCUAUUGUAAUUCACUCUGGUAGUCCUAAAACUUGUAUGCCUGUGGCAUAUCUUGUAAUUUGACCUGAGAUUGGGUAGGGAUACCCGCUGAACUUAAGCAUAUCAAUAAGCGGAGGA